RNAcentral lists this ribosomal RNA (281 nucleotides) under uncultured prokaryote. RNAcentral's name for it is "partial 16S ribosomal RNA". It matches the Rfam family "Bacterial small subunit ribosomal RNA", at positions 505 to 785 of the family's 1533-position model. The record is from RNAcentral.
GUGUCAGCCGCCGCGGUAAUACAGAGGGUGCAAGCGUUAAUCGGAUUUACUGGGCGUAAAGCGCGCGUAGGCGGCCAAUAAAGUCAAAUGUGAAAUCCCCGAGCUUAACUUGGGAAUUGCAUUCGAUACUGGUUGGCUAGAGUCCGGGGGAGGAUGGUAGAAUUCCGGGUGUAGCGGUGUAAUGCGUAGAGAUCUGGAAGAAUACCGAUGGCGAAGGCAGCCAUCUGGCCUAACACUGACGCUGAGGUGCGAAAGCAUGGGGAGCAAACAGGAUUAGAUAC